GAUGAACGAUAGAGGGAGGAAGAACACAGGCAAGCCGAGCGGUAGAGUUUCUUCGGAAACUUGAGAGCGGCGCACGGGUGCGUAACACGUGUGCAACCUACCUUUAUCUGGGGGAUAGCCUUUCGAAAGGAAGAUUAAUACCCCAUAAUAUAAUGAUUGGCAUCAAUUAUUAUUGAAAACUCCGGUGGAUAGAGAUGGGCACGCGCAAGAUUAGAUAGUUGGUGAGGUAACGGCUCACCAAGUCAAUGAUCUUUAGGGGUCCUGAGAGGGAGGUCCCCCACACUGGUACUGAGACACGGACCAGACUCCUACGGGAGGCAGCAGUGAGGAAUAUUGGACAAUGGGUGAGAGCCUGAUCCAGCCAUCCCGCGUGAAGGAUGACGGUCCUAUGGAUUGUAAACUUCUUUUGUACAGGGAUAAACCUACCCUCGUGAGGGUAGCUGAAGGUACUGUACGAAUAAGCACCGGCUAACUCCGUG
This 479-nucleotide ribosomal RNA is filed under the name uncultured bacterium. Its description in RNAcentral is "partial 16S ribosomal RNA". It matches the Rfam family "Bacterial small subunit ribosomal RNA", at positions 28 to 507 of the family's 1533-position model. The record is from RNAcentral.